AUGCGGUCUGCGGCGAGUCCCGGCGGCGGAAGGAGGAUGUCCCCGGGUGAAGAGGCUCUGCGGUCGUUGAAGAGGCCGCGCCACCCCGUGGAUCCCGGCUCCGGCUCGGACUCCGGCUCCAGCUCCGGCUCGGAAUCCGACGGCGAUUUCGUCAGUGACUUGAGGCAGAUCGCGUGCCUGCUGCGGUUGAUCAAGGGUGGGAACAAGGAUCGCCAGAAGAUGUGCGAGCAGAUCAUCGCCAGUGUUGCAGCCAAUAUUCAGACUAUGCUUGAAGAUACCAAGUCCAAGUUUGAGAAGGAAAGGCAGAACUUGCUGAAAGUAUUGUCAGGCACUUCGAAAGAGCAGUGUGAAAGUUCAUUGAACGAAGAGUACACUAAGCUUCAGGAAACAUAUGAAAUGUUCUGUGAAGAAAAUGAUGCACACUUACAAACCUUCAAAGACCUAUUCUCACAAGUAGAAGUUGAGAAAAAGAAACUGCUUGAGCAGUAUCAAUAUCAGAGGGAGGAGACGGCUACAUUGUCUGAACUUGGUGACACCUUCUCAGAGAAGAUAACAAAUGCCAAACCAUCACCGAAAAGGAUGAAGCAGGAUGACAAGUCUUUCAUCAUCUUCCGCAAGUCGAUUGGUUCAUAUCUCGAGUGCGCAUCCGACGAUGAUUUUGACCUUGAUGAUGGGUGA
Molecule: ribosomal RNA, 678 nt
Filed under: Triticum aestivum (bread wheat)
Lineage: Eukaryota; Viridiplantae; Streptophyta; Magnoliopsida; Poales; Poaceae
Description: partial small subunit ribosomal RNA
Source: RNAcentral